RNAcentral lists this non-coding RNA (119 nucleotides) under uncultured eukaryote. The record is from RNAcentral.
CCCUUUGGUAUACCCUGAACUCACAACCCGAUUGUCUAUAUCACACCUCUUCAAAGUGCGCAUCGACUCUCGAUCUGGGAAAAAAAUCAAGAUGAAGGUCGAUAAAGACGCAACAGAUG